GGCCAAGAGUUAGCUCAGUUGGUUAGAACGUGGUGCUGAUAACGCCAAGGUCACGGGUUCGAUUCCUGUAUUGGCCA
Podarcis raffonei (Aeolian wall lizard) is the source of this 77-nucleotide non-coding RNA. The record is from the annotation of a RefSeq genome assembly. Lineage: Eukaryota; Metazoa; Chordata; Lepidosauria; Squamata; Lacertidae.